CUCAUAUUUAAGCAAGGAAGCAGGAAGUGGUUCCUUUCCCUUUUGCUCUUCUUCCUGCUCUCUGCUGUGAGCCAUCAUGUGAUCCUGGGGAUGAAGAAGCCAGCGGAAGGUGUCUGAUAAGUUAUAGUUGGUGCAAAAUGGAAGCCAGAGCCAGAGAGGAAUGGAAAAAGGAAAGGAACAAGCCAGCUGAAGGUGCACGCACCUGCAAUCCCCUGCAGUGCCUGCUCUGAACCAAAAUGCUAAUAUAACUCUCCUAAGUAGGUAAACCUGUGGGACAAUUUCCUGAAUAGUGAUUGAUAUGGAGUUCCAAGCCACUAUGUGUGGAUGCCACCCUUGGGCGAGAGAUUCUGGGGUGUACAGGAAAGAAAAUGGAACAAACCAGAAGGAGCAAGUCAGUAAGCAGCACUCCUCCAUGGUCUCAGCUUCAGUUCCUUUCUUCAGCUUCCUGCCCUGCUUGAGUUCCUGUCUUGACUCAUCUCAUUAAGGUCUGGAAGGAAAAAUAAACUCGUUUCUUCAAAAGUUCCUUUUGUCGUGAUGCUCUAUCACAGUAAGAAAAAAUAAAUUAAGAUACUGACAAUAGGCAUACUAUUCUUGGAAAUCAGAUAUUUGACUAAGAUAAUAAAUUGGGGACUGGAGAGACGCUUGGCAGUUAAGAUUUCAUACUGUUCUCUCAGAAAAACACAUGGAUUGAUUACUAGUACCCACAGUGGCCAGAUCAAUCCAUCUCCAAGGGAUGAAAUGUCUCCAGCUUUGAAGGCAUGGAUGUUCAUGUGUGCAUACCCCCACACAGAC
Molecule: long non-coding RNA, 792 nt
Filed under: Cricetulus griseus (Chinese hamster)
Lineage: Eukaryota; Metazoa; Chordata; Mammalia; Rodentia; Cricetidae
Description: lncRNA (ENSCGRG00015036847.1)
Source: RNAcentral